GCGGCGGACGGGUGAGUAACACGUGGGUAACCUGCCCAUAAGACUGGGAUAACUCCGGGAAACCGGGGCUAAUACCGGAUAACAUUUUGAACCGCAUGGUUCGAAAUUGAAAGGCGGCUUCGGCUGUCACUUAUGGAUGGACCCGCGUCGCAUUAGCUAGUUGGUGAGGUAACGGCUCACCAAGGCAACGAUGCGUAGCCGACCUGAGAGGGUGAUCGGCCACACUGGGACUGAGACACGGCCCAGACUCCUACGGGAGGCAGCAGUAGGGAAUCUUCCGCAAUGGACGAAAGUCUGACGGAGCAACGCCGCGUGAGUGAUGAAGGCUUUCGGGUCGUAAAACUCUGUUGUUAGGGAAGAACAAGUGCUAGUUGAAUAAGCUGGCACCUUGACGGUACCUAACCAGAAAGCCACGGCUAACUACGUGCCAGCAGCCGCGGUAAUAC
Molecule: ribosomal RNA, 446 nt
Filed under: Bacillus sp. G23C012ANY
Lineage: Bacteria; Bacillati; Bacillota; Bacilli; Caryophanales; Bacillaceae
Description: bacterial SSU rRNA
Rfam family: Bacterial small subunit ribosomal RNA
Source: RNAcentral